This 1055-nucleotide long non-coding RNA is filed under the name Patiria miniata (bat star). RNAcentral's name for it is "uncharacterized LOC119733223, transcript variant X2". Lineage: Eukaryota; Metazoa; Echinodermata; Asteroidea; Valvatida; Asterinidae. The record is from RNAcentral.
UCUGGCUUGUUUCCAGGGUGUGAAGGGCAUCACCUCAAACUCCCUUGACAACAAGAUGAGACCAUUCAAGGAACAUCGUUACGCUCUUGGCAGGAUUCUAUGUCAUCAAGAAGAGAUUGAAUGAAGAUCUUGAGAGAAUGUUGGCUGACAGACGAUAAGAAGUCAAGAAGAUGACAGUCUACACACCAAGUCAACUCAUCACCUUUAUUCCAUGGAGCCUUGCAUCAUUCACCUACCACCAUGCCAGUCCAGUCGCCAUGGCAACUAAACAGCCUCAAGCCCUGCCUCCAACAGCUAUUGGAUAAGAUCGGCAGAAGUGAGCGUAGUCAAGGGCAACACAAGACACCUGUCAGCUUUGUUGUUGUACCUGUCAGUGAUCUGGGUUACCCUGUUGGUUCACUAGGGAGUAGCAUCUGGGCUUAUACACCAGACACCUGUCAGCCGGUUUGGUGAGCAACAUGAGCCAAUGUCUGGCAUGCAUCAUAACAUGGCCAUGGGAGAUGGGGGAGGGGUGACAACUCACGGAAUGGCAGGAACGGUCUGAAACCCAGUAGCUACCAUGCAACUUCAUGGCACCAACCCAAAGGUGUGGGGAGCAUUAAGGGAACUGGUCAUGUGACAUGAGGACACCUCUCCAUCCAUACCUACAGAGGGCGCUGUUCAUCACAUUCGCAGCAUCCACGAGAGAUAGUUAAGUUAAUACAUUUUUCAUACAUGUAGAUGUCCAGCACCCAUAGAGGGCGCCAUAAUGCUAUCUGGUUUGUUCACAGACAUAUUGACACAUACAUGUAGAUUGCCAGUUGUGUGCUUGAAACUGUGAUUUGAUAAAGUACCGCACAAAUUUAAUGUAUGGGCAAAACGUGACAUUUGUUGACAGCGCGCAAAAAUGCUGUUUGGGUUCAAUGUGCCGACGCGCCUAGAACGCUACAUAAAAUAGCUGUAUUACUCAAAAUUUUCAUAAAAGUGUCGGGUAACGUAUUGGUUUAAGUCUACAUGUGGUAAAUCAUAUACUCAAGGGAAUCAUUUUUACAAUAAAAAAAAUUUACUUCAUUGAA